This 363-nucleotide ribosomal RNA is filed under the name uncultured bacterium. Its description in RNAcentral is "bacterial SSU rRNA". It matches the Rfam family "Bacterial small subunit ribosomal RNA", at positions 790 to 1167 of the family's 1533-position model. The record is from RNAcentral.
GUAGUCCACGCCGUAAACUAUGGACGCUAGCUGUAAGAAGUAUCGACCCUUCUUGUAGCGAAGCUAACGCGUUAAGCGUCCCGCCUGUGGAGUACGGUCGCAAGACUAAAACAUAAAGGAAUUGACGGGGACCCGCACAAGCGGUGGAGCGUGUUGUUUAAUUCGAUGGUAAGCGAAGAACCUUACCCAGGCUUGACAUCCUUGGAAUUUCUCCGAAAGGAGAAAGUGUCUUCGGAAGCCAAGUGACAGGUGUUGCAUGGCCGUCGUCAGCUCGUGUCGUGAGAUGUUAGGUUAAGUCCUUCAACGAGCGCAACCCCUUUGUUUAGUUGUAUUUUUCUAAACAGACUGCCCUGGCAACAGGGA